UGGGCUGUGGCUUAGUGGUAGAUGGCUUACCUAGCAUGCAUGAGGUCCUGGGUUCCAUCCCCAGCAGCACAA
RNAcentral lists this transfer RNA (72 nucleotides) under Fukomys damarensis (Damara mole-rat). It matches the Rfam family "tRNA". From Rfam's summary of the family: Transfer RNA (tRNA) molecules are approximately 80 nucleotides in length. Their secondary structure includes four short double-helical elements and three loops (D, anti-codon, and T loops). The record is from Rfam by way of RNAcentral. Lineage: Eukaryota; Metazoa; Chordata; Mammalia; Rodentia; Bathyergidae.